GCUUCGCUGACGAGUGGCGGACGGGUGAGUAAUGUCUGGGAAACUGCCUGAUGGAGGGGGAUAACUACUGGAAACGGUAGCUAAUACCGCAUAAUGUCGCAAGACCAAAGAGGGGGACCUUCGGGCCUCUUGCCAUCGGAUGUGCCCAGAUGGGAUUAGCUUGUUGGUGGGGUAACGGCUCACCAAGGCGACGAUCCCUAGCUGGUCUGAGAGGAUGACCAGCCACACUGGAACUGAGACACGGUCCAGACUCCUACGGGAGGCAGCAGUGGGGAAUAU
Molecule: ribosomal RNA, 279 nt
Filed under: Escherichia coli
Lineage: Bacteria; Pseudomonadati; Pseudomonadota; Gammaproteobacteria; Enterobacterales; Enterobacteriaceae
Description: partial 16S ribosomal RNA
Rfam family: Bacterial small subunit ribosomal RNA
Source: RNAcentral